RNAcentral lists this transfer RNA (60 nucleotides) under Proasellus racovitzai. RNAcentral describes it as "transfert RNA-A(GCA)". The record is from RNAcentral. Lineage: Eukaryota; Metazoa; Arthropoda; Malacostraca; Isopoda; Asellidae.
AAAAUUAUAGUUUAUCCAAAACAUUUAAUUUGCAUUUAAAAAAAACAUAAGUUAAUUUUA